GACGAACGCUGGCGGCGUGCUUAACACAUGCAAGUCGAACGGAAAGGCCUGCUUUCCCUUGUGGAUUGCGGGUACUCGAGUGGCGAACGGGUGAGUAACACGUGAGUGAUCUGCCCCCAACUUGGGUAUAAGCCUGGGAAACUGGGUCUAAUUCCCGAUAGGACUGCAGGGUGGUGCCUGUGGUGGAAAACGAUUUUCUAGUGGUUGGGGAUGAGCUCGCGGCCUAUCAGCUUGUUGGUGGGGUAAUGGCUUACCAAGGCGGCGACGGGUAGCCGGCCUGAGAGGGUGGACGGCCACAUUGGGACUGAGAUACGGCCCAGACUCCUACGGGAGGCAGCAGUGGGGAAUAUUGCACAAUGGGCGGAAGCCUGAUGCAGCGACGCCGCGUGGGGGAUGACGGCCUUCGGGUUGUAAACUCCUUUCGACCGCGAGGAAGCCACCUGGUUGGAAGGGUGGUGACGGUAGUGGUAGAAGAAGCACCGGCUAACUACGUG
This 494-nucleotide ribosomal RNA is filed under the name uncultured bacterium. RNAcentral describes it as "partial 16S ribosomal RNA". It matches the Rfam family "Bacterial small subunit ribosomal RNA", at positions 28 to 507 of the family's 1533-position model. The record is from RNAcentral.